UACGUAGGGGGCUAGCGUUGUCCGGAUUUAUUGGGCGUAAAGAGCGUGUAGGCGGCCAUGUAGGUCCGGUGUGAAAACUCGAGGCUUAACCUCGAGAUGUCAUCGGAAACCAUUUGGCUAGAGUCCGGAAGAGGAAAGUGGAAUUCCUGGUGUAGCGGUGAAAUGCGCAGAUAUCAGGAAGAACACCAAUGGCGAAAGCAGCUUUCUGGGACGGUACUGACGCUGAGAGGCGAAAGCUAGGGGAGCGAAUGGG
Molecule: ribosomal RNA, 253 nt
Filed under: uncultured bacterium
Lineage: Bacteria
Description: partial 16S ribosomal RNA
Rfam family: Bacterial small subunit ribosomal RNA
Source: RNAcentral